This is a long non-coding RNA of Canis lupus familiaris (dog), 383 nucleotides long. RefSeq lists it as uncharacterized. Lineage: Eukaryota; Metazoa; Chordata; Mammalia; Carnivora; Canidae. The record is from RefSeq and is a predicted model, not a curated record. The transcript is spliced from 3 exons.
GCAUACUUUAGAUCUCUGAAGAUGACCAAGCAAAGCAGAGACUAUGAAACCCACAUCAGACUUCUGAAAGCAAUUAUCUUUGACUAUGAAACACAAUGAAAAAUGAAUUAAAAGAGUAGCUAUGUGGAGAUGGGAAGGAAAAUUGAGUUAAAUGAUUCCGGGCUCUAUUCGUUGGAAUUACAUGGAGGAUUGUCAGAAAGAAGAAAUGGAACAGAGUCCUGAAUUCUUAAAUGUGUCGUGGAGACCAGGCAAGACUCUUCGACCUCUAAUAGGUGAGAACUACUGGUCUAAAAUGGCUCCAUGUUACCACUUAUUUGAAUUAAAAGAUGGAACCAGUCUGACAUGCACUUCUUAGUAGAAAUCACAGGUUACCUUUGGGGAAC